Vombatus ursinus (common wombat) is the source of this 287-nucleotide long non-coding RNA. RefSeq lists it as uncharacterized. The record is from RefSeq and is a predicted model, not a curated record. The transcript is spliced from 3 exons. Lineage: Eukaryota; Metazoa; Chordata; Mammalia; Diprotodontia; Vombatidae.
GCUUACAAGGUGCAAAGGCUGCAAAAGACCAAAUGAAAAACAGUUACCUGCUUUCAAGGAAUUUAUACUCUACUGAGAUUAUACAAAAAGGUCAAGGCUUUUCAGAGAUGGAUCAGUCUGACAUCCUUUUCAGUUCUGAAAUUCUGGAGAUAUCAUAAGUAAAACAUAGGGUCUAAGGUCAACUCCACCCAACCAGUGAACUCUUGAAAGCCCAAAGAUCUGGGAAGAGCCAACUGCAACUAGCCACCUCUCCACCCCUACGGAUUAUCACAAAUAUAAAUGUAAUU